This 495-nucleotide ribosomal RNA is filed under the name uncultured bacterium. Its description in RNAcentral is "partial 16S ribosomal RNA". It matches the Rfam family "Bacterial small subunit ribosomal RNA", at positions 28 to 523 of the family's 1533-position model. The record is from RNAcentral.
GAUGAACGCUGGCGGCGUGCCUAACACAUGCAAGUCGAACGAAGCACUUUAGCUUGAUUCUUCGGAUGAAGGCUAUUGUGACUGAGUGGCGGACGGGUGAGUAACGCGUGGGUAACCUGCCUUAUACAGGGGGAUAACAGUUAGAAAUGACUGCUAAUACCGCAUAAGACCACGGAGUCGCAUGACUCAGUGGGAAAAACUCUGGUGGUAUGAGAUGGACCCGCGUCUGAUUAGGUAGUUGGUGGGGUAACGGCCUACCAAGCCGACGAUCAGUAGCCGACCUGAGAGGGUGACCGGCCACAUUGGGACUGAGACACGGCCCAAACUCCUACGGGAGGCAGCAGUGGGGAAUAUUGCACAAUGGGGGAAACCCUGAUGCAGCGACGCCGCGUGAGCGAAGAAGUAUUUCGGUAUGUAAAGCUCUAUCAGCAGGGAAGAAAAUGACGGUACCUGACUAAGAAGCACCGGCUAAAUACGUGCCAGCCGCCGCCGUAA